RNAcentral lists this ribosomal RNA (269 nucleotides) under uncultured bacterium. RNAcentral's name for it is "partial 16S ribosomal RNA". It matches the Rfam family "Bacterial small subunit ribosomal RNA", at positions 494 to 762 of the family's 1533-position model. The record is from RNAcentral.
CGUGUCUCUAGUGUCAGCAGCCGCGGUAAUACGGAGGAUCCGAGCGUUAUCCGGAUUUAUUGGGUUUAAAGGGAGCGUAGAUGGAUGUUUAAGUCAGUUGUGAAAGUUUGCGGCUCAACCGUAAAAUUGCAGUUGAUACUGGAUAUCUUGAGUGCAGUUGAGGCAGGCGGAAAUUCGUGGUGUAGCGGUGAAAUGCUUAGAUAUCACGAAGAACUCCGAUUGCGAAGGCAGCCUGCUAAGCUGCAACUGACAUUGAGGCUCGAAAGUGU